Molecule: long non-coding RNA, 1000 nt
Filed under: Physcomitrium patens
Lineage: Eukaryota; Viridiplantae; Streptophyta; Bryopsida; Funariales; Funariaceae
Description: long non-coding RNA (PPAT_LNC007445)
Source: RNAcentral
CAAAAUGUCCUAUAAGAGAUGUUACUUGAUUUCUUACCUCUCGUGUGGAUGCAAAUUUAAAUAAUUAAACCAUCUCUUUUUCUAAAACAUGCUUCAAAUUCAUUUUCUUUAUAUAAUAUCUUAAAUAUUUUGUAAUAUCCUUCCUUUAAAAUUGAUCAUUCUUGUCAACAACUACAUGCAAUGCUUUGUUUGUCAUACCCUCUUUGUAAUCUUUAAUCUGUUGCUAUUGCAUGAAUAAGGAAAAAUCCUCAAACAUGCUUGUAAAUUUGGGAUUGAAAUACAUUUAUUGCCCUCCACUACUUCUACUAUCUAUAGCUCUAAAUGAAGCACCAUCCAUAGGUCUUCUUUUAACUCUCUUGUCUUUUUUAUCUAUAAUUCAAAUAAUCAUAGAUAAUCAAAUACCUUCCAUCUCAAGCCUUUUACAUUGAGUUCACCAAAUAUGUCGUAUUAUGUGAAGACUUUCUUGAGAGUGCACCAAAUACUUGGCUGUAGAAGGUAGAAUAGAAAUUGCAACAACAAAAUCAUAAUUUUAAUAGAAUACUAAAUAAUCUCUAAUUAAACCUUAAUAAUGCUAAACAAACUUUAAUCAUAUUCAAAAAAAUUCUUAAAGAAAUUACAAAAGAAACAAUAAGAAAUCUUAAAGGAGUUGAAAGAAAAUCCAUAAUAAACCUUAAAAGAAUCCUUAAGAAAUCCUAAAAAUAUUAAAAUAAUUACAAAUACAUCUUAAAUAAAUAUUAAUUAAGUUCUAAUUUAAUCAUAGUUGAAAUCUUAAUAGACUUCAAUAAAAUCCUAGAUAAAUCCUAAAUCAUAAAUCAAACCAUAAAUCAAAUCCUACAUAAAUCCUAAAUCCUAAACCAAAUCCUAAAUCAAAUCAUAAAAAAAUCCUAAAUCCUAAAUCAAAUCUUAGAUGAAAUCUAAGAUCUUAAAUCAAAUCCUAGAUGAAAUCUUUAAUCCUAAACCAAAUCUUAGACAAAUCCUAAAUCCUAAAUCAAAUCCUAAA